AACGAACGCUGGCGGCAUGCCUAACACAUGCAAGUCGAACGAGACCUUCGGGUCUAGUGGCGCACGGGUGCGUAACGCGUGGGAACCUGCCCUUAGGUUCGGAAUAACUCCCCGAAAGGGGUGCUAAUACCGGAUAAUGUCUUCGGACCAAAGAUUUAUCGCCUUUGGAUGGGCCCGCGUUGGAUUAGCUAGUUGGUAGGGUAAAAGCCUACCAAGGCGACGAUCCAUAGCUGGUCUGAGAGGAUGAUCAGCCACACUGGGACUGAGACACGGCCCAGACUCCUACGGGAGGCAGCGGUGGGGAAUAUUGGACAAUGGGCGAAAGCCUGAUCCAGCAAUGCCGCGUGAGUGAUGAAGGCCUUAGGGUUGUAAAGCUCUUUUACCCGGGAUGAUAAUGACAGUACCGGAAGAAUAAGCUCCGGCUAACUCCGUG
Molecule: ribosomal RNA, 433 nt
Filed under: uncultured bacterium
Lineage: Bacteria
Description: partial 16S ribosomal RNA
Rfam family: Bacterial small subunit ribosomal RNA
Source: RNAcentral